Molecule: small RNA, 467 nt
Filed under: Pongo abelii (Sumatran orangutan)
Lineage: Eukaryota; Metazoa; Chordata; Mammalia; Primates; Hominidae
Description: processed transcript
Source: RNAcentral
GCGCCUUGGGGGAAACCAAAGGACUUCUGCACCGUUUCCCGAGGACAGUUUGGCAGUGUUUCAGAAGGGCCUUAGUACCAGGCAGGCCCCCUUCUAGGAUGGUGGAAAGCCUAAAGAUCUGAAAACGGUGUCAAGUGUCGUCUUAGCGAUUGGCUGACUAAACCGAAUGCAAGCCGGAGACUGCACACGAUGUUGCCUGGGCCGGGCAGUCCGAGGCGGGCGGAUCACCUGAGGUCAGGAGUUCAAGAACAACCUGGCCAACAUGGCAUGAAGAACUCUUGACUGAUAGAGGGUGUGUCCAAAGUUUUCAGGACGGCCCAGCGGCGCUCCAAAACCCUCCUCACAGCCUCGCCCCUUUCGCCUCAGCCACAACAGAUCAUCGUCAACCUGUUCCACCUUCUCCAGUCUGGUAGCAAAAAGGGGUGUCUCAGAAUCUCCGGCCUGUGAAACCGUGAGGGGAUUCGGCC